AUUGAACGCUGGCGGCAGGCCUAACACAUGCGAGUCGAGCGGAUGAAGGGAGCUUGCUCCUGGAUUCAGCGGCGGACGGGUGAGUAAUGCCUAGGAAUCUGCCUGGUAGUGGGGGAUAACGUCCGGAAACGGGCGCUAAUACCGCAUACGUCCUGAGGGAGAAAGUGGGGGAUCUUCGGACCUCACGCUAUCAGAUGAGCCUAGGUCGGAUUAGCUAGUUGGUGGGGUAAAGGCCUACCAAGGCGACGAUCCGUAACUGGUCUGAGAGGAUGAUCAGUCACACUGGAACUGAGACACGGUCCAGACUCCUACGGGAGGCAGCAGUGGGGAAUAUUGGACAAUGGGCGAAAGCCUGAUCCAGCCAUGCCGCGUGUGUGAAGAAGGUCUUCGGAUUGUAAAGCACUUUAAGUUGGGAGGAAGGGCAGUAAGUUAAUACCUUGCUGUUUUGACGUUACCAACAGAAUAAGCACAGGCUAACUUCGUG
RNAcentral lists this ribosomal RNA (484 nucleotides) under uncultured bacterium. RNAcentral describes it as "partial 16S ribosomal RNA". It matches the Rfam family "Bacterial small subunit ribosomal RNA", at positions 30 to 507 of the family's 1533-position model. The record is from RNAcentral.